This 481-nucleotide long non-coding RNA is filed under the name Salmo salar (Atlantic salmon). RNAcentral's name for it is "lncRNA (ENSSSAG00000099571.1)". The record is from RNAcentral. Lineage: Eukaryota; Metazoa; Chordata; Actinopteri; Salmoniformes; Salmonidae.
GGUAACAGCAGAUCGACUGUACUACUAAAAGACAUCGUUCAAGCAGCAAGACAUCCCUCUAUCUGGCGACAAAAACAUCCCUUUUCUGAGGAGAAAGAAGAAGACUCUCGCGCCAUGGUCUGACUGCUGAUCAAAGCCAGCAUCUGGACGGUGAGGAAGAUUCGGGCCCACAUUGCUGAGGGAGAGCAAGAGGAGAAGCCCAUCUUCACACCAUGUGGUGUUAUUGGCUUUAAGAAGGAGCAGUUGACGUCAGGUUCUGAUCCACCGGCGGCCAUAAUGACCCCUGAACCUGAUGAUGGUAUCGCUAUCGGCGGCCAGGCGCCGACGACCGAGACAGCCGUGCAGAAGUGCGGAUCCUGAGGUUAAAGAUGACCCUUGUGGCUGCAGCGUGUGACGGCCUGCUCACCAACCCCUCCAACCAGGGACUGAGCUGUUCUGAUGCCCCUGCUGCAGCUUCCCCAAUAAAAACUUUUAAAAACUA